UACUAUGCUUAACCAUAAACAUUGUUAUCAUGAAUUACCUUAACAAACCGCCCGAACACUACAAGCGCUAGCUUAAAAUACAAAGGACUUGGCGGUGCUCCAAACCCACCUAGAGGAGCCUGUUCUAUAACCGAUAAUCCGCGUUCAACCUCACCACUUCUUGCCCCUUCCGCCUAUAUACCGCCGUCGUCAGCUCACCCCAUGAGGGUUUAACAGUAAGCACAAUGACCUUCAUCCUCAAUACGUCAGGUCGAGGUGUAGCGAAUGAAGUGGGAAGAAAUGGGCUACAUUCUCUUUCUAGAACACACGAACAGAAGCAUGAAAAACUUCUAAAAGGUGGAUUUAGCAGUAAGUAAAAUUUAGAACAUUACACUGAAACCGGCUCUGGAGCGCGCACACACCGCCCGUCACUCUCCUCGAAAAAUCACCAUAAAUUCCAUAAAAAACUUUAAAAUAAAGAGGAGGCAAGUCGUAA
Molecule: ribosomal RNA, 475 nt
Filed under: Taeniura lymma (bluespotted ribbontail ray)
Lineage: Eukaryota; Metazoa; Chordata; Chondrichthyes; Myliobatiformes; Dasyatidae
Description: partial small subunit ribosomal RNA
Rfam family: Bacterial small subunit ribosomal RNA
Source: RNAcentral